Molecule: transfer RNA, 70 nt
Filed under: Psammomys obesus (fat sand rat)
Lineage: Eukaryota; Metazoa; Chordata; Mammalia; Rodentia; Muridae
Description: tRNA-Asn
Source: RNAcentral
UAGACUGAAGCCAGAAAUAGGGUAUUUAGCUGUUAACUAAAUUUUCGUGGGUAUUUAAUCCUGCCAGUUU